This 24-nucleotide non-coding RNA is filed under the name Arabidopsis thaliana (thale cress). Lineage: Eukaryota; Viridiplantae; Streptophyta; Magnoliopsida; Brassicales; Brassicaceae. The record is from RNAcentral.
AUCAAAGCACAUGCAACUAAUGUG